AAGUGAGAAUGCCGGUAUGAGUAGCGAAAGACGGGUGAGAAUCCCGUCCACCGAAUGCCUAAGGUUUCCUGAGGAAGGCUCGUCCGCUCAGGGUUAGUCAGGACCUAAGCCGAGGCCGACAGGCGUAGGCGAUGGACAACAGGUUGAUAUUCCUGUACCACCUCUUUAUCGUUUGAGCAAUGGAGGGACGCAGAAGGAUAGAAGAAGCGUGCGAUUGGUUGUGCACGUCCAAGCAGUUAGGCUGAUAAGUAGGCAAAUCCGCUUAUCGUGAAGGCUGAGCUGUGAUGGGGAAGCUCCUUAUGGAGCGAAGUCUUUGAUUCCCCGCUGCCAAGAAAAGCUUCUAGCGAGAUAAAAGGUGCCUGUACCGCAAACCGACACAGGUAGGCGAGGAGAGAAUCCUAAGGUGUGCGAGAGAACUCUGGUUAAGGAACUCGGCAAAAUGACCCCGUAACUUCGGGAGAAGGGGUGCUUUCUUAACGGAAAGCCGCAGUGAAUAGGCCCAAGCGACUGUUUAGCAAAAACACAGCUCUCUGCGAAGCCGUAAGGCGAAGUAUAGGGGGUGACACCUGCCCGGUGCUGGAAGGUUAAGGAGAGGGGUUAGCGUAAGCGAAGCUCUGAACUGAAGCCCCAGUAAACGGCGGCCGUAACUAUAACGGUCCUAAGGUAGCGAAAUUCCUUGUCGGGUAAGUUCCGACCCGCACGAAAGGUGUAACGAUUUGGGCACUGUCUCAACCAGAGACUCGGUGAAAUUAUAGUACCUGUGAAGAUGCAGGUUACCCGCGACAGGACGGAAAGACCCCGUGGAGCUUUACUGUAGCCUGAUAUUGAAUUUUGGUACAGUU
This 842-nucleotide ribosomal RNA is filed under the name Burkholderia pseudomallei. RNAcentral describes it as "partial 23S ribosomal RNA". It matches the Rfam family "Bacterial large subunit ribosomal RNA", at positions 1286 to 2134 of the family's 2925-position model. The record is from RNAcentral. Lineage: Bacteria; Pseudomonadati; Pseudomonadota; Betaproteobacteria; Burkholderiales; Burkholderiaceae.